AUAAUAUAUAUAAGAUCAAAAUCUAAACUAAUCAGUUUGUAAAUGCUCGACAUAAAGCAAAUACUCUCAAAUCUUAAUGUAAGAAAGUAUCGACUUAUGCCUAGUCCAUAUCUCAUAUGGAGUCUUUGCAACUGAUUAAUUCAGAAUCCAGUUCAGAACAUAACAGGCAGUCUUAAGAACAUAACCUUAAAUAGAGACUGGCAGACUUGUAAACCCCAUCAUAGAUCGAACUAUGUUUAGAAAAGUCAAUUCCAACAAGAGAGAAUCCUAUUCUCUUCUAGAUAUAUCAAAACUUACUUGAAAUGCAUUCUCCUCUUCGGUC
This 322-nucleotide long non-coding RNA is filed under the name Elaeis guineensis (African oil palm). RNAcentral's name for it is "long non-coding RNA (EGUI_LNC064068)". Lineage: Eukaryota; Viridiplantae; Streptophyta; Magnoliopsida; Arecales; Arecaceae. The record is from RNAcentral.